This 304-nucleotide long non-coding RNA is filed under the name Setaria viridis. RNAcentral describes it as "long non-coding RNA (SVIR_LNC008982)". The record is from RNAcentral. Lineage: Eukaryota; Viridiplantae; Streptophyta; Magnoliopsida; Poales; Poaceae.
GGACAAUGGGUGUGGGUUCGGACGUGGGUUUAGGGAGCAAGGUCCGGGAAGAGUUUGGGAACGCAACACACAUGGGAAUGUUGAAGAAGACGCUAGCCGAGUUAAGGUGGGGUUUUUGGUGAUUCGACCACGUGAAGAGCUGGUCUAACAGCGGAAUGUCAAUGAGACCAAGUUUGUGGAUCAAUCGUUCAAAGCAUCGUUUAAGUGCUGGUUGAAAGAAAGGAGAAAAUGUGGUUGCCUAUCUUAGCUCGCCACGGUUACACGUUUAUAUGUGGUGAAAACACCAAAGAGAUUUACAUCGAUA